AAACUGCGUGUGUCAAGACUCACAACUGC
RNAcentral lists this non-coding RNA (29 nucleotides) under Homo sapiens (human). Lineage: Eukaryota; Metazoa; Chordata; Mammalia; Primates; Hominidae. The record is from RNAcentral.